GUGGGCCACCACACCCAGCCACAUAUACUAAAACAUUAUACAGAGGUCAGCAUGGCCCCUUAGCAAGGAUGACUUGCAAAUUCGUGAAGCUUUCCAUAUUUUU
Homo sapiens (human) is the source of this 103-nucleotide small nuclear RNA. NCBI's taxonomy places the organism in Eukaryota, Metazoa, Chordata, Mammalia, Primates, Hominidae. The record is from Ensembl.